This 254-nucleotide ribosomal RNA is filed under the name uncultured bacterium. Its description in RNAcentral is "partial 16S ribosomal RNA". It matches the Rfam family "Bacterial small subunit ribosomal RNA", at positions 524 to 776 of the family's 1533-position model. The record is from RNAcentral.
UACGUAGGGGGCAAGCGUUGUCCGGAUUUAUUGGGCGUAAAGAGCGUGUAGGCGGCCAGAUAAGUCCGCUGUGAAAUCUCGAGGCUCAACUUCGAGCUGUCGGUGGAAACUGUCUGGCUAGAGUCCGGAAGAGGAGAAUGGAAUUCCUGGUGUAGCGGUGAAAUGCGUAGAUAUCUGGAGGAACACCGGUGGCGAAGGCGACAUCCUGGACCAACACUGACGCUGAGUGAGCGAAAGCCAGGGGAGCAAACGGG